Molecule: transfer RNA, 64 nt
Filed under: Lens contradens
Lineage: Eukaryota; Metazoa; Mollusca; Bivalvia; Unionida; Unionidae
Description: tRNA-Ala
Rfam family: tRNA
About the family: Transfer RNA (tRNA) molecules are approximately 80 nucleotides in length. Their secondary structure includes four short double-helical elements and three loops (D, anti-codon, and T loops).
Source: RNAcentral
GGCUCUAUACUUUAAGGCAAAAGAUUUGAUUUGCAAUCAACUAUUGAGGUACACUCUAGAGCCC